UCGGGAAUUUUGGGCAAUGGGCGAAAGCCUGACCCAGCAACGCCGCGUGAAGGAUGAAGGCCUUCGGGUUGUAAAGCUCUUUUACCAGGGACGAUAAUGACGGUACCUGGAGAAUAAGCCCCGGCUAACUUCGUGCCAGCAGCCGCGGUAAUACGAAGGGGGCUAGCGUUGUUCGGAAUCACUGGGCGUAAAGCGCACGUAGGCGGAUUUGUUAGUCAGGGGUGAAAUCCCGGGGCUCAACCUCGGAACUGCCUCUGAUACUGCAAAUCUCGAGUCCGAUAGAGGUGAGUGGAAUUCCUAGUGUAGAGGUGAAAUUCGUAGAUAUUAGGAAGAACACCAGUGGCGAAGGCGGCUCACUGGAUCGGUACUGACGCUGAGGUGCGAAAGCGUGGGGAGCAAACAGGAUUAGAUACCCGCGUAGUCCCUGAGCGGGCUGGCAAGGCGCAU
RNAcentral lists this ribosomal RNA (447 nucleotides) under uncultured bacterium. Its description in RNAcentral is "bacterial SSU rRNA". It matches the Rfam family "Bacterial small subunit ribosomal RNA", at positions 355 to 825 of the family's 1533-position model. The record is from RNAcentral.